RNAcentral lists this small RNA (124 nucleotides) under Marmota monax (woodchuck). Lineage: Eukaryota; Metazoa; Chordata; Mammalia; Rodentia; Sciuridae. The record is from RNAcentral.
GCCGGGUGUGGUGGUGUAUGCCUGUAAUCCCAGUGGCUCGGGAGGCAGAGGCAGGAGGAUCACAAGUUCAAAGCCAGCCUCAGCAACAGUGAGGCACUAAGCAACUCAGUGAGCCCUGUCUCUA